RNAcentral lists this ribosomal RNA (252 nucleotides) under uncultured bacterium. RNAcentral's name for it is "partial 16S ribosomal RNA". It matches the Rfam family "Bacterial small subunit ribosomal RNA", at positions 524 to 776 of the family's 1533-position model. The record is from RNAcentral.
UACGGAGGAUGCGAGCGUUAUCCGGAUUUAUUGGGUUUAAAGGGUGCGUAGGCGGAUCGUUAAGUCAGUGGUCAAAUUGAGGGGCUCAACCCCUUCCCGCCAUUGAAACUGGCGAUCUUGAGUGGAAGAGAAGUAUGCGGAAUGCGUGGUGUAGCGGUGAAAUGCAUAGAUAUCACGCAGAACCCCGAUUGCGAAGGCGGCAUGCCGGCUUCCGACUGACGCUGAAGCACGAAAGCGUGGGGAUCGAACAGG